AUUGAACGCUGGCGGCAUGCCUUACACAUGCAAGUCGAACGGUAACGCGGGGCAACCUGGCGACGAGUGGCGAACGGGUGAGUAAUGCAUCAGAACGUGCCCAGUAGUGGGGGAUAGCCCGGCGAAAGCCGGAUUAAUACCGCAUACGACCUACGGGUGAAAGCGGGGGACUCGCAAGAGCCUCGCGCUAUUGGAGCGGCCGAUGUCAGAUUAGGUAGUUGGUGGGGGUAAAAAGCCUACCAAGCCGACGAUCUGUAGCUGGUCUGAGAGGACGACCAGCCACACUGGGACUGAGACACGGCCCAGACUCCUACGGGAGGCAGCAGUGGGGAAUUUUGGACAAUGGGCGCAAGCCUGAUCCAGCCAUGCCGCGUG
Molecule: ribosomal RNA, 375 nt
Filed under: uncultured bacterium
Lineage: Bacteria
Description: bacterial SSU rRNA
Rfam family: Bacterial small subunit ribosomal RNA
Source: RNAcentral